GUGUGGCUUGACCAACCUUUGUGUCCCCAUGAAUAAGUUUUUAAUCAAUUAUUUUAUUAAAUAAUUUUUAGAAUUCAAUUUUGCCCCAGAUACUUCUUCAGCAGGCGUGUGGCACCUCCACUGAAGGUUCUGGUUAGGUCUAACCAUUAACAUGCCAGAAUUUAGUGUAUCUAACAAAUGAGUGACCAGGUCUGAGUGUGGCUCAGCCAACCUGACCAUCAUCAGAAAGAUAUAAUUAAAAUAAUAUAUUAUGAAUGAUAAUUCCGACAGCU
This 272-nucleotide long non-coding RNA is filed under the name Elaeis guineensis (African oil palm). Its description in RNAcentral is "long non-coding RNA (EGUI_LNC045092)". The record is from RNAcentral. Lineage: Eukaryota; Viridiplantae; Streptophyta; Magnoliopsida; Arecales; Arecaceae.